This 314-nucleotide unclassified non-coding RNA is filed under the name plant metagenome. RNAcentral describes it as "partial contains 5.8S ribosomal RNA, internal transcribed spacer 2, and large subunit ribosomal RNA". The stretch from base 1 to 105 matches the Rfam family "5.8S ribosomal RNA", at positions 50 to 154 of the family's 154-position model. The record is from RNAcentral.
GAAAUGCGAUAAUUAAUGUGAAUUGCAGAAUUCAGUGAAUCAUCGAGUCUUUGAACGCACAUUGCGCCCCCUGGUAUUCCGGGGGGCAUGCCUGUCCGAGCGUCAUUGCUGCCCUCACGCACGGCUUGUGUGUUGGGCUUCCGUCCCUGGCAACGGGGACGGGCCCAAAAGGCAGUGGCGGCACCAUGUCUGGUCCUCGAGCGUAUGGGGCUUUGUCACCCGCUCCCGUAGGUCCAGCUGGCAGCUAGCCUCGCAACCAAUCUUUUUAACCAGGUUGACCUCGGAUCAGGUAGGGAUACCCGCUGAACUUAAGC